RNAcentral lists this ribosomal RNA (468 nucleotides) under uncultured bacterium. Its description in RNAcentral is "partial 16S ribosomal RNA". It matches the Rfam family "Bacterial small subunit ribosomal RNA", at positions 28 to 507 of the family's 1533-position model. The record is from RNAcentral.
GACGAACGCUGGCGGCGUGCUUAACACAUGCAAGUCGAACGGAAAGGCCCUGCUCUUGUGGGGUGCUCGAGUGGCGAACGGGUGAGUAACACGUGAGUAACCUGCCCUUGACUUUGGGAUAACUUCAGGAAACUGGGGCUAAUACCGGAUAGGAGCUCCUGCUGCAUGGUGGGGGUUGGAAAGUUUCGGCGGUUGGGGAUGGACUAGCGGCUUAUCAGCUUGUUGGUGGGGUAGUGGCUUACCAAGGCUUUGACGGGUAGCCCGCCUGAGAGGGUGACCGGCCACAUUGGGCCUGCGAGACGGCCCAGACUCCUACGGGCGGCAGCAGUGGGGAAUAUUGCACAAUGGGCCGAAGCCUGAUGCAGCAGCCCCGCGUGCGUAAUGACGGCCUUCUGGUUGUAAACCGCUUUCGCCUGAAACGAAGCGUGAGUGACGGUAAUGGGUAAAGAAGCACCGGCUAACUACGUG